Long non-coding RNA from Centrocercus urophasianus (Greater sage-grouse), 1330 nucleotides. RefSeq lists it as uncharacterized. NCBI's taxonomy places the organism in Eukaryota, Metazoa, Chordata, Aves, Galliformes, Phasianidae. The record is from RefSeq and is a predicted model, not a curated record. The transcript is spliced from 4 exons.
UCUCUCCUUUGUUUGCUUAGGAUGAAUGCAAUGAAAGACAGAAAAACAGAAAAAAGAAUCUAACAGCAUUAAUGAAUGAGAUAUUGAGGCAACUGAAAGAGCACUGGUCAUCCAUCCAGUGAAUACAAUGGGAUAUAGGACUGCCAUGGGGAAGGAUUCGUGCAUUUCUAAACAUACAUACACAUUUCAGAUUACACCACUCUGUAUAUUAUUCUCCACUGAAGAUGAGAUGAGGACAGGAACAGCAAGUAGUUUGCACCUUCAAAAUGAAGCAAUGGAUUUUCCCAUGAGUAGACAAAAGCUUCCUAUCUGCACGAAUGGAAGCCUUUUCCCAGUAUGGAAUGCACAUCAGCCUGUGAAAAUGUAUAGUGAAAUGGGAGCUCUCUAGCAGAGACCACUAGAGCAAUCCACCUCUUUCUGCUGGACACCAGCUGAUGGCCCACAGCAUAUGUUUGUGCUUUCCAGCACGUACGAAUACUGGAUAACUAGACAAUUUCAUCAGCAUGUGCAAAUGUGGAUGCUUUUACAAAUGCGUGAGUCUUCAAUUUAAACAGGUAUGAAGAAAAACUGUGGGUGAGGUCAUUGGCUGGCAAAAAGCAAGAAUCUGAAAACAUAAAGGAGAAAAUAUUUUUGUUGAUGUAUUUUUAAGAACAGAAAAAUAGAGCUUAAAUGUGUGCAGCACAGUUAUUAGUUAAUUACAUUGAUGAAAUCAUAUGCGUGUUAAAAUUCAUCAUCAAUAAAUUACUUUUUGUGAAAAAAGACUCAAGAACACCUCAUUUUACUGAGGCUUUAAAUUGGGUAAGUCAACAAGGGUAACACCUUACCACCCAUUUACAAUUCCUCCAUUUUAUCCUACCAUUAAAUUCUGAACACAGGGCUGCCUAAGGGUGAUCACAUGCUUUAAAACAAUUUUCCAUAUUUUUUUCUUUUUUACCACAAUCAAGCAAAGGUUUUAGCCAAAUGUGUAAAUGCAAGAACCUACCAAUAAGUGAGAUACUGGCCACUCAUCCGUCAGUGAGCUGGCUUCACUUUCUGGUCUUGCAUAUUGUGGCAAUUUACCUAUAAGUACUAGCCACAAUAGUAGCACCUAUAUUGCAUUGUGACUCCUGUUCUCAUUUCCUAUGGAUUGCCUAUCUUUUACCUAUGCCAUUAGGAAGUAAAUCUGAAAAGGACCAUAGAUGACAGACAUGCUAUUUGCCUUUAAGGUCCGUUAUAGGGGCAACAAAAAAAGACAACGUCCUAACUAAGGUAGGAAAGUUCUUUUCUCUAGUGCCUAUAUAGAAAAAGUAGGUUCUUAAAAAGUUGAUUCAAAGUAGAUGGCCUGAAAACU